AAUGACGCUGGCGGAAUGCUUUACCAUGCUUAUCGAACGAUGAACCUAGCUCGCUAGGGCCGAUUAGUGGCGAACGGGUGAGUAAUAUAUCGGAACGUGCCUUGUAAUGGGGGAUAACUAGUCGAAAGAUUAGCUAAUACCGCAUACGCCCUGAGGGGGAAAGUAGGGAUCUUCGGACCUUACGUUAUAAGAGCGGCCGAUAUCUGAUUAGCUAGUUGGUGGGGUAAUGGCCUACCAAGGCUUCGAUCAGUAGCUGGUCUGAGAGGACGACCAGCCACACUGGAACUGAGACACGGUCCAGACUCCUACGGGAGGCAGCAGUGGGGAAUUUUGGACAAUGGGCGCAAGCCUGAUCCAGCCAUUCCGCGUGAGUGAAGAAGGCCUUCGGGUUGUAAAGCUCUUUCGCAAGGGAAGAAAACUUACUUUCUAAUAAAGAGUGAGGCUGACGGUACCUUGAUAAGAAGCACCGGCUAACUACGUGCCCAGACAGCCGCGGUAAUACGUAAGGGUGCGAGCGUUAAUCGGAAAUUACUGGGCGUAAAGCGUGCGCAGGCGCGUUUGGACAAAGUCAGAUGUGAAAUCCCCGAGCUUCAACUUGGGAACUGGCGGUUUGGAAACUUGACCAGACUUAGAAAUAUGUACAGAAACGGGGGGGUCACGCAAUUCCCACCGUAGUUAAACAGUGAAAAUGGCGUUACAGAAUGUGGAAGGAAUAACCAUGGGGCGAAGGCCACACCCUGGGAUAAAAUUGACCGCUCAUGCACGAAACCGUUGGGAACAAACAAGGAUUAAAUCCCUGGUUAGUCAACGCCUAACAUUCUAAACUUGUAGGUGAGUAACAUACUAACAACUAGGGAA
This 858-nucleotide ribosomal RNA is filed under the name uncultured bacterium. Its description in RNAcentral is "bacterial SSU rRNA". It matches the Rfam family "Bacterial small subunit ribosomal RNA", at positions 28 to 855 of the family's 1533-position model. The record is from RNAcentral.